UUUUAAAUAUUUUCUUCUUUUUUAAACUGGUUGCCGCAAUUUCCGGAGCUAAAAAGGUGAACCUUCAAUGUUUUUGUUAAUAAAUUAAACACCAAAUCAACAUAAAUCUACUCUAGAAUCUUAGAGUGAGUCCAUUUGCCGGAGGAAUAAAUAAUUGAAAAUUCAGUCUGGCCACUUGGUCCGUGGACCAAUCUAAAAGGGGGCCAGGUCACUGCAAGACUCAAAAUUAGUCUUCAGUCAUUUUUUACAUUAAUAAGUUUUUAAAAACUGCAUACAGGUCGAAUUUAAACGCACUUUUGUCACUGUGUGCAACAAGGGCGUAGCGCCACUUGUUACUUAAAUUAUUCUCACGCCAUCAGGGAGCGGCUGAUCGAAACGAGUUUUUGGGAUGUUAAACUAGAUGGUACAGUGCAUGUUUUGAUGUAAUAACAUCAAAACGGGCUUUCGGUGCCGAACGCCCUUGUUGCUCCCAAUGCUUCAAUUCGAAGUUUAAAACUCAC
Molecule: long non-coding RNA, 500 nt
Organism: Ostrinia furnacalis (Asian corn borer)
Lineage: Eukaryota; Metazoa; Arthropoda; Insecta; Lepidoptera; Crambidae
Exons: 4
Source: RefSeq, a predicted model, not a curated record